GACGAACGCUGGCGGCGUGCCUAACACAUGCGAGUCGAACGAAGAGUGAUGGACGCUUGCUUCUCUCAAUCUUAGUGGCGAACGGGUGAGUCAUGCGUAAUCAAUAUGUCCUUCAGAGGGGGACAAAAGUUGGAAAAGACUGCUAAUACCGCAUACGAUCUAAUCUCGGCAUCGAGGAUAGAUGUAAGGUGGCUGAUACAUGUAAGCUCUCACUGAAGGAGGGGACUGCGUCUGAUUAGCUAGUUGGUGGGGUAACGGCCCACCAAGGCGAUGAUCAGUAGCCGGUCUCAGAGGAUGAGCGGCCACGUUGGGACGGAGACACGGCCCAGACUCCUACGGGAGGCAGCAGUGGGGGAUCUUCCGCAAUGGACGAAAGUCUGACGGAGCAACGCCGCGUGAGCGAGGACGGCCGUCGGGUUGUGAAGCUCUGUUAAUCGUGACGAAAGGCCUUCUUGCGAAUAGUGAGAAGUAUUGACGGUACCGGAAUAGAAAGCCACGGCUAACUACGUG
Molecule: ribosomal RNA, 510 nt
Filed under: uncultured bacterium
Lineage: Bacteria
Description: partial 16S ribosomal RNA
Rfam family: Bacterial small subunit ribosomal RNA
Source: RNAcentral